AGUAACGCGUGGGUAACCUGCCCUUUUGUGGGGAACAACUUUGAGAAAUCGGAGCUAAUACCGCAUAAUAAUAGAGGAUCGCAUGAUUCUUUAAGGAAAGAUGGCCUCUGAAGAUGCUAUCGCAAAAGGAUGGACCCGCGUCUGAUUAGCUAGUUGGAAGGGUAACGGCCUACCAAGGCAACGAUCAGUAGCCGGCCUGAGAGGGUGAACGGCCACAUUGGGACUGAGACACGGCCCAAACUCCUACGGAAGGCAGCAG
Molecule: ribosomal RNA, 259 nt
Filed under: uncultured bacterium
Lineage: Bacteria
Description: partial 16S ribosomal RNA
Rfam family: Bacterial small subunit ribosomal RNA
Source: RNAcentral